Molecule: ribosomal RNA, 439 nt
Filed under: uncultured bacterium
Lineage: Bacteria
Description: partial 16S ribosomal RNA
Rfam family: Bacterial small subunit ribosomal RNA
Source: RNAcentral
CUACGGGAGGCUGCAGUGAGGAAUAUUGCACAAUGGGGGAAGCCCUGAUGCAGCAACGCCGCGUGGAGGAUGACGCAUUUCGGUGUGUAAACUCCUUUUAUAUGAGAAGAAAAUGACGGUAUCAUAUGAAUAAGCACCGGCUAACUCCGUGCCAGCAGCCGCGGUAAUACGGAGGGUGCAAGCGUUACUCGGAAUCACUGGGCGUAAAGGACGCGUAGGCGGGUUAUUAAGUCAGGUGUGAAAUCCUAUGGCUCAACCAUAGAACUGCACUUGAAACUGGUAACCUAGAGUACUGAAGGGGAUGAUGGAAUUAGUAGUGUAGGGGUAAAAUCCGUAGAUAUUACUAGGAAUACCGAAAGCGAAGGCGAUCAUCUGGGAAGUUACUGACGCUGAGGCGUGAAAGCGUGGGGAGCAAACAGGAUUAGAUACCCCGGUAGUC